AGCCAUCCUUGGGAUACCACCCUUGUAGUACUGGGACUCUAACCAUAGGCCAUGAAUCUGGUCUUGGGACACUGUCAGGUGGGCAGCUUGACUGGGGCGGUCGCCUCCCAAAAGGUAACGGAGGCGCGCAAAGGUUCUCUCAGUACGGUCGGAAAUCGUACGUAGAGUGUAAAGGCAAAAGAGAGCUUGAUUGCAAGACAUACAGGUCGAGCAA
Molecule: ribosomal RNA, 214 nt
Filed under: Clostridioides difficile
Lineage: Bacteria; Bacillati; Bacillota; Clostridia; Peptostreptococcales; Peptostreptococcaceae
Description: partial 23S ribosomal RNA
Rfam family: Bacterial large subunit ribosomal RNA
Source: RNAcentral